UGACUGUAGAUAUCUGUUAGGGCCACUAUGGGUGGUACGGUCGUUGUCAUAGAUCGUACCAUGGUUUGGCUAGUCUUUAAUGGGCCUGAGCAAAUUACCGUAUAUGUAACUAAUCUGGUCAUUCCACUUGGGUAGUUAGAAAUCUUUAUCUACCCUCGAAGAUGAAAGUUAUAACAACUUCAUGAAGCAUGACACGAAAAUAUGAGAAUUUCAUGAUUUAUUUGAUUUUCUCUACUAUCUGGCAUGAUGUAUUAACAUAUCGUUU
Molecule: long non-coding RNA, 265 nt
Filed under: Carica papaya (papaya)
Lineage: Eukaryota; Viridiplantae; Streptophyta; Magnoliopsida; Brassicales; Caricaceae
Description: long non-coding RNA (CPAP_LNC003615)
Source: RNAcentral